GGGGUCGUGGUAUAGUUGGUUAGCGCGCAGAUUUCAUAAGUCUGAAGUCGUGAUUUCGAGCCUCACCGAUCUCA
This 74-nucleotide transfer RNA is filed under the name Gaeumannomyces tritici R3-111a-1. RNAcentral describes it as "tRNA-Met (CAT) (tRNA-Met-CAT-3-1)". It matches the Rfam family "tRNA". From Rfam's summary of the family: Transfer RNA (tRNA) molecules are approximately 80 nucleotides in length. Their secondary structure includes four short double-helical elements and three loops (D, anti-codon, and T loops). The record is from RNAcentral. Lineage: Eukaryota; Fungi; Ascomycota; Sordariomycetes; Magnaporthales; Magnaporthaceae.